GGUAGUUUGAUAGGAAUAAUGUUAGAUAGAGCUUUCUAAUUGUUGGAUGGAAUUCCUUGCUGUUAUGGAUUUGCCCUAAUUAUCUGCAAAUUCGGGCAACUUCAAACUUUUCAGAUUUUCAGAACCAGACUCCAAAAUCAUAAUUUACAAAUAUAAGAAAAAAAAAUGCAAUUUUUAGGAUUUCUCAUGACUCCUCAUAACUCCUUUCUUAUGCUGCAAGCACCUAUGGCUCACUUCAAUUGCUCAAACCUUGACUUUGCUAGGGCCUCAGGAU
RNAcentral lists this long non-coding RNA (274 nucleotides) under Carica papaya (papaya). RNAcentral describes it as "long non-coding RNA (CPAP_LNC009855)". Lineage: Eukaryota; Viridiplantae; Streptophyta; Magnoliopsida; Brassicales; Caricaceae. The record is from RNAcentral.